UACAGAGGUGGCUAGCGUUGUUCGGAAUUACUGGGCGUAAAGGGAGCGCAGGCGGCCAGGCAAGUCUGAAGUGCAAGCCCGGGGCUCAACCCCGGAUCGCUUUGGAAACUGCCAGGCUUGAGUAUGUCAGAGGUGAGCGGAAUUCCAGGUGUAGCGGUGAAAUGCGUAGAUAUCUGGAGGAACAUCCGUGGCGAAGGCGGCUCACUGGGACACAACUGACGCUGAGGCUCGAAAGCGUGGGGAGCGAACGGGAUUAGAUACCCGGGUAGU
Molecule: ribosomal RNA, 270 nt
Filed under: uncultured bacterium
Lineage: Bacteria
Description: partial 16S ribosomal RNA
Rfam family: Bacterial small subunit ribosomal RNA
Source: RNAcentral